CUAGCGACUUCAGAGUUUGAUCCUGGCUCAGGAUGAACGCUGGCGGCGUGCCUAACACAUGCAAGUCGAGCGGGAUUUUCCGGAUUGAAGCUUCGGUAGAUUGAAGGAAAUGAGAGCGGCGGACGGGUGAGUAACGCGUAGGCAACCUGCCCUUUGCAGAGGGAUAGCCAUUGGAAACGAUGAUUAAAACCUCAUAAUACCGAGAGAAGACAUCUUUUUUCGGUCAAAGAUUUAUCGGCAAAGGAUGGGCCUGCGUCUGAUUAGCUAGUUGGUGAGGUAACGGCUCACCAAGGCGACGAUCAGUAGCCGACCUGAGAGGGUGAUCGGCCACAUUGGAACUGAGACACGGUCCAA
This 354-nucleotide ribosomal RNA is filed under the name uncultured bacterium. RNAcentral describes it as "bacterial SSU rRNA". It matches the Rfam family "Bacterial small subunit ribosomal RNA", at positions 1 to 334 of the family's 1533-position model. The record is from RNAcentral.